AUUGAACGCUGGCGGCAUGCCUUACACAUGCAAGUCGAACGGCAGCACAAGGAGCUUGCUCCUGGGUGGCGAGUGGCGAACGGGUGAGUAAUGUAUCGGAACGUGCCCAGUAGUGGGGGAUAACUACUCGAAAGAGUGGCUAAUACCGCAUGAGAUCUCUGGAUGAAAGUGGGGGACCGUAAGGCCUCACGCUACUGGAGCGGCCGAUAUCAGAUAGUUGUGUGGGUAAGGCUACCAGCCUGCGAUCUGUAGCUGGUCUGAGAGGACGACCAGCCACACUGGGACUGAGACACGGCCCAGACUCCUACGGGAGGCAGCAGUGGGGAAUUUUGGACAAUGGGCGCAAGCCUGAUCCAGCAAUGCCGCGUGCAGGAUGAAGGCCUUCGGU
This 388-nucleotide ribosomal RNA is filed under the name uncultured bacterium. RNAcentral's name for it is "bacterial SSU rRNA". It matches the Rfam family "Bacterial small subunit ribosomal RNA", at positions 30 to 422 of the family's 1533-position model. The record is from RNAcentral.